CUCUGGUAACAGAAAACACCUGAUGACAGGUCUCACCAGUAAGGCUGCCUGGGUUGCAUAUUUUAUUCCUAACUGCCUCUUGCAUGGCUCAGUAGUGCUUGUCUGGCCUGGCUGCCUGUCACAACCCCAUACUAUAGGGUAGACAGAGCUUUAUUUUUUUAAUCGUGUGCUCAUAAAUCUCAUGCACAACAGAACAGACAACAGAACUUGGCAUGAAGCAGGAAUUUGGUAAAGCACUGCCAGAUCACAGCACAUGCCUCCUGCUGGGAAGAUUUCCAAGAAACGCUUGGACUGACCUGGAACAAUACACUAUGAAAAAUGAGGAGGCUUCAGAAUAUGCUUAAUGAGAGAACCCAAAGAAAAAUGCCCGGAACAGACUACCAGAGAUACAGGCUGUCCUGAGAGCUUCUACUUCUCUAAACAUGAGUCCAGCCAAAAAUAAAUCUUUAGGGGUAAUGGAUGAUCAGAACUUGAGAAAUAAAUAAAAAAAGUAUCUGUAUCAA
Long non-coding RNA from Mesocricetus auratus (golden hamster), 503 nucleotides. RefSeq lists it as uncharacterized. NCBI's taxonomy places the organism in Eukaryota, Metazoa, Chordata, Mammalia, Rodentia, Cricetidae. The transcript is spliced from 2 exons. The record is from RefSeq and is a predicted model, not a curated record.